GAUGAACGCUGGCGGCGUGCCUAAUACAUGCAAGUCGAGCGGACGGACGAGAAGCUUGCUUCUCUGAUGUUAGCGGCGGACGGGUGAGUAACACGUGGAUACCCUACCUAUCAGACUGGGAUAACUACGGGAAACCGUAGCUUAUAGCGGAUAAUCUUUUGCACCGCGUGGUUCAAAAGUGAAAGACGGUCUUGCUGUCACUUAUAGCUGGAUCUGGGCUGCAUUAGCUAGUUGGUAAGGUAACGGCUUAGCAAGGCAACGAUGCAUAGCCGACCGGAGAGGGGGAUCGGCGACACUGGAGCGGAGACGCGGUCCAGGCGCCUGCGGUAGGCAGCAGUAGGGAAUCGUCGGCAAUGGGCGAAAGUCUGACGGAGCAACGCCGAGUGAGUGAUGGAGGUCUUCGGAGCGUAAAACUCGGUUAUGGGUGAAGAACAUAUGUGUAAGUAACUGAGCACAGCGUGACGGUACCUAAUCAGAAAGCCACGGCUAACUACGUG
RNAcentral lists this ribosomal RNA (497 nucleotides) under uncultured bacterium. Its description in RNAcentral is "partial 16S ribosomal RNA". It matches the Rfam family "Bacterial small subunit ribosomal RNA", at positions 28 to 507 of the family's 1533-position model. The record is from RNAcentral.